Molecule: long non-coding RNA, 1245 nt
Filed under: Numida meleagris (helmeted guineafowl)
Lineage: Eukaryota; Metazoa; Chordata; Aves; Galliformes; Numididae
Description: lncRNA (ENSNMEG00000016983.1)
Source: RNAcentral
GCAGAACAAAAAGCAGUGAAGAUCAAAACAAGUUAAUGAAAAAGAAAACAAUUGCAUGUAAUAAAUGGGAAGAGGCCAGAACUGUCAGUUCAUUUCAACUGAAUAUAAUGAGGAGUGAUGAAAAAAACGGCAGAGGAACCAGAGAAGUCAGUAGAAAAUUAGAAGCCGGUGGUCUCCUACUGAUCCAUAUUUUAAUUCUCUGGUAAGAGACUUGCAUUUGCAGUGUGCUUCAGAAAUCAGGACGUUGCAAUAUGGUAAACCUACACAAGUGCCCUGCAAUGAUGCUUCUUAUUGAAGAAAAGCCUUCAUGUAGGGAUGUCAAAGCCUUCCCAAGGGCAGGAUGCUGUUAAUGCUGCUCUUAGGCUGUAGAACAGCAGUUUGUCUUCUGGAAGAGUCAGAGAGCAAGAGGUGGUUACACGAGGAGAUGUGGUGGGACAGCCGUGCUGUUCUUGUGUCUGGGACCCACGUCAGUUUCCAGUGAAUCUGCGGAGUCCAAAAUUGCUGCAGCACAGCCUUGUACACAUUUGUGUGCUCUUAACCUUGGAGCAGCUGGAGAGCAACACCUGGAGGCAGGGGCUGUCUUAGGAGAGGAACCCCACUGCGGCACAUUCCAGCCAAGAUUGUAUUUCAAAUCACCUGGGUCUUCGUUCCUUCCAACACCCCUUUGAUCUACAAACUGCUCCUUAAAUGACUGAAACAGGAACUUGAGCCCCGGUGAAUUGGCUUUACCAGCCCUCUGAGACGAAUUUCUUAGACCUGCAGCAACUGUGAUGUGCCAUGCCUCUGCGCAGUCCUUAGGUCUGGAGUGGGAGCUCUGCACCACAGUGCCAUGAAGCAUUCAGGAGGCUCGUGCACGAGAUGCCCAUGCACUGGAUAAAGUCUUCAGCCACGGAGAAGCCCUACGAGCAGGAGCAGCUCAUGACAUCGCAGUGCAGUGUCACAGCUCUCUUCGACUUCCAGGCUGCCCCCAGGCCCCACAUCAGAUGCUGCUGGCUGCCCUGUUUUGUGAUGCAUGUUGCAGAGGGCUCCUUGCACAGCAGGAGAGCCAUGAGCUGCCUGAGGACUGCCACACCGCAGGCUGUGCUAUGGUCCUGCAGUCCUGCCCUACCUUGUGGCUGCAUGGGGCUUGCUGAAGUGCUGGGAGCUUCGUACCAUAUGAUGUGGUAUCCUACAACGAGUCGUCUCUGCUCCAUUUGCCAUGGCCAGUACGUUUCAGCACCAGCACCACUUCUGUCAUCUUUGUAA